AGACGAGGGAUCCAAGCGUUGUUCGGAAUCAUUGGGCGUAAAGCGGGUGUAGGUGGCUUUGUAAGUCGGGUGUGAAAGCCCAGGGCUCAACCCUGGAAGUGCAUUCGAUACUGCGAAGCUUGAGUGUAGGAGAGGUUACUAGAAUUCUUGGUGUAGUGGUGAAAUACGUAGAUAUCAAGAGGAAUACCGGAGGCGAAGGCGGGUAACUGGCCUAACACUGACACUCAGACCCGAAAGCGUGGGGAUCAAACAGGAUUAGAUACCCUGGUAGUCCACGCCGUAAACGAUGGAUACUUGUUGUUGGAGGUAUUGACCCCUUCAGUGACGAAGCUAACGCGUUAAGUAUCCCGCCUGGGGAGUACGGUCGCAAGAUUAAA
Molecule: ribosomal RNA, 377 nt
Filed under: uncultured Pseudobdellovibrionaceae bacterium
Lineage: Bacteria; Pseudomonadati; Bdellovibrionota; Bdellovibrionia; Bdellovibrionales; Pseudobdellovibrionaceae
Description: bacterial SSU rRNA
Rfam family: Bacterial small subunit ribosomal RNA
Source: RNAcentral